UGCAGUCGNACGCAGUAGCAAUACUGAGUGGCAAACGGGUGAGUAUAAUGUGGGAAUCUGCCUUUUGGUUUGGAAUAACACGGGGAAACUUGUGCUAAUACCGAAUAAGCCCUUACGGGGAAAGUUUUAACGCCGAAAGAUGAGCCCGCACUUGAUUAGCUAGUUGGUAAGGUAAAAGCUUACCAAGGCAACGAUCAAUAGCUGUUCUUAGAGGAAGACCAGCCACAUUGGGACUGAGACACGGCCCAGACUCCUACAGGAGGCAGCAGUGGGGAAUCUUGCACAAUGGGGGAAACCCUGAUGCAGCGAUGCCGCGUGAGUGAAGAAGGCCCUUGGGUUGUAAAACUCUUUCGUCGGGGAAGAAAAUGACUGUACCCGAAUAAGAAGGUCCGGCUAACUUCGUGCCAGCAGCCGCGGUAAUACGAAGGGACCUAGCGUAGUUCGGAAUUACUGGGCUUAAAGAGCUCGUAGGUGGUUAAAAAAGUUGAUGGUGAAAUCCCAAGGCUCAACCUUGGAACUGCCAUCAAAACUUUUUAGCUAGAGUGUGAUAGAGGUAAGUGGAAUUUCUAGUGUAGAGGUGAAAUUCGUAGAUAUUAGAAAGAACACCAAAUGCGAAGGCAACUUACUGGGUCACUACUGACACUGAGGAGCGAAAGCAUGGGUAGCGAAGAGGAUUAGAUACCCUCGUAGUCCAUGCCGUAAACGAUGAGUGCUAGACGUUGGGAAUAUAUUUUUCAGUGUCGCAGCGAAAGCAUUAAGCACUCCGCCUGGGGAGUACGACCGCAAGGUUAAAACUCAAAUGAAUUGACGGGGACCCGCACAAGCAGUGGAGCAUGUGGUUUAAUUCGAAGANACGCGCAGAANCNUUACCAACGCUUGACAUGUUCGUCGCGAGACUAANANANUAGUUUUCNNCAGUU
Molecule: ribosomal RNA, 920 nt
Filed under: uncultured bacterium
Lineage: Bacteria
Description: bacterial SSU rRNA
Rfam family: Bacterial small subunit ribosomal RNA
Source: RNAcentral